Molecule: ribosomal RNA, 489 nt
Filed under: uncultured bacterium
Lineage: Bacteria
Description: partial 16S ribosomal RNA
Rfam family: Bacterial small subunit ribosomal RNA
Source: RNAcentral
GACGAACGCUGGCGGCGUGCUUAACACAUGCAAGUCGAACGGUGAAGGGAUCAGCUUGCUGGUUCUGGAUGAGUGGCGAACGGGUGAGUAACACGUGAGUAACCUGCCCCCUUCUUCUGGAUAACCGCAUGAAAGUGUGGCUAAUACGGGAUAUUCUGGGUCUGUCGCAUGAUGGGUCUGGGAAAGAUAUUGUUUCGGUGGGGGAUGGGCUCGCGGCCUAUCAGCUUGUUGGGGGGGUGAUGGCCUACCAAGGCGGUGACGGGUAGCCGGCCUGAGAGGGUGGACGGUCACACUGGGACUGAGACACGUCCCAGACUCCUACGGGAGGCAGCAGUGGGGAAUAUUGCACAAUGGGCGCAAGCCUGAUGCAGCGACGCCGCGUGAGGGAUGGAGGCCUUCGGGUUGUAAACCUCUUUCGCCAGUGAAGCAGGCCUGCUCCUUGUGGGUGGGUUGACGGUAGCUGGAUAAGAAGCGCCGGCUAACUACGUG